Molecule: ribosomal RNA, 1437 nt
Filed under: uncultured organism
Description: 16S ribosomal RNA
Rfam family: Bacterial small subunit ribosomal RNA
Source: RNAcentral
GUGCUUAACACAUGCAAGUCGAACGGAAAGGCCCUGCUUUUGUGGGGUGCUCGAGUGGCGAACGGGUGAGUAACACGUGAGUAACCUGCCCUUGACUUUGGGAUAACUUCAGGAAACUGGGGCUAAUACCGGAUAGGAGCUCCUGCUGCAUGGUGGGGGUUGGAAAGUUUCGGCGGUUGGGGAUGGACUCGCGGCUUAUCAGCUUGUUGGUGGGGUAGUGGCUUACCAAGGCUUUGACGGGUAGCCGGCCUGAGAGGGUGACCGGCCACAUUGGGACUGAGAUACGGCCCAGACUCCUACGGGAGGCAGCAGUGGGGAAUAUUGCACAAUGGGCGGAAGCCUGAUGCAGCAACGCCGCGUGCGGAAUGACGGCCUUCGGGUUGUAAACCGCUUUCGCCUGUGACGAAGCGUGAGUGACGGUAAUGGGUAAAGAAGCACCGGCUAACUACGUGCCAGCAGCCGCGGUGAUACGUAGGGUGCGAGCGUUGUCCGGAUUUAUUGGGCGUAAAGGGCUCGUAGGUGGUUGAUCGCGUCGGAAGUGUAAUCUUGGGGCUUAACCCUGAGCGUGCUUUCGAUACGGGUUGACUUGAGGAAGGUAGGGGAGAAUGGAAUUCCUGGUGGAGCGGUGGAAUGCGCAGAUAUCAGGAGGAACACCAGUGGCGAAGGCGGUUCUCUGGGCCUUUCCUGACGCUGAGGAGCGAAAGCGUGGGGAGCGAACAGGCUUAGAUACCCUGGUAGUCCACGCUGUAAACGGUGGGUACUAGGUGUGGGGUCCAUUCCACGGGUUCCGUGCCGUAGCUAACGCUUUAAGUACCCCGCCUGGGGAGUACGGCCGCAAGGCUAAAACUCAAAGGAAUUGACGGGGCCCCGCACAAGCGGCGGAGCAUGCGGAUUAAUUCGAUGCAACGCGUAGAACCUUACCUGGGUUUGACAUGGAUCGGGAGUGCUCAGAGAUGGGUGUGCCUCUUUUGGGGUCGGUUCACAGGUGGUGCAUGGCUGUCGUCAGCUCGUGUCGUGAGAUGUUGGGUUAAGUCCCGCAACGAGCGCAACCCUUGUUCACUGUUGCCAGCACGUUAUGGUGGGGACUCAGUGGAGACCGCCGGGGUCAACUCGGAGGAAGGUGGGGAUGACGUCAAGUCAUCAUGCCCCUUAUGUCCAGGGCUUCACGCAUGCUACAAUGGCUGGUACAGAGAGUGGCGAGCCUGUGAGGGUGAGCGAAUCUCGGAAAGCCGGUCUCAGUUCGGAUUGGGGUCUGCAACUCGACCUCAUGAAGUCGGAGUCGCUAGUAAUCGCAGAUCAGCAACGCUGCGGUGAAUACGUUCCCGGGGCUUGUACACACCGCCCGUCAAGUCAUGAAAGUUGGUAACACCCGAAGCCGGUGGCCUAACCGUUGUGGGGGAGCCGUCGAAGGUGGGACUGGUGAUUAGGACUAAGUCG